This 395-nucleotide ribosomal RNA is filed under the name uncultured bacterium. Its description in RNAcentral is "bacterial SSU rRNA". It matches the Rfam family "Bacterial small subunit ribosomal RNA", at positions 355 to 765 of the family's 1533-position model. The record is from RNAcentral.
CUAAGAAUCUUGCGCAAUGGGCGAAAGCCUGACGCAGCAAUUCCGCGUGGGGGACGAAGGCCCUCGGGUCGUAAACCCCUUUUGCGAGGGAAGAAGUUCUGACGGUACCUCGCGAAUAAGACACGGCUAACUACGUGCCAGCAGCCGCGGUAAUACGUAGGUGUCGAGCGUUUUCCGGAUUUAUUGGGCGUAAAGAGCCCGCAGGCGGCUUGCCAAGGUCGAGGUGAAAGCUCCCGGCUCAACCGGGAGGGUGCCUCGAAACCUGGCAGGCUUGAGGCAGGGAGAGGGAUGUGGAAUUCCCGGUGUAGUGGUGAAAUGCGUAGAUAUCGGGAGGAACACCAGUGGCGAAGGCGGCAUCCUGGCCCUGUCCUGACGCUCAGGGGCGAAAGCGUGGG